GGAUGCGAUCAUACCAGCACUAAAGCAUCGGAUCCCAUCAAAACUCCGAAGUUAAGCGUGCUUGGGCGAGAGUAGUACUAGGAUGGGUGACCUCUUGGGAAGUCCUCGUGUUGCAUUCC
RNAcentral lists this ribosomal RNA (119 nucleotides) under Triticum aestivum (bread wheat). Lineage: Eukaryota; Viridiplantae; Streptophyta; Magnoliopsida; Poales; Poaceae. The record is from RNAcentral.